Molecule: ribosomal RNA, 1109 nt
Filed under: Salmonella enterica
Lineage: Bacteria; Pseudomonadati; Pseudomonadota; Gammaproteobacteria; Enterobacterales; Enterobacteriaceae
Description: partial 23S ribosomal RNA
Rfam family: Bacterial large subunit ribosomal RNA
Source: RNAcentral
AGACCCGAAACCCGGUGAUCUAGCCAUGGGCAGGUUGAAGGUUGGGUAACACUAACUGGAGGACCGAACCGACUAAUGUUGAAAAAUUAGCGGAUGACCUGUGGCUGGGGGUGAAAGGCCAAUCAAACCGGGAGAUAGCUGGUUCUCCCCGAAAGCUAUUUAGGUAGCGCCUCGUGAAUUCAUCUCCGGGGGUAGAGCACUGUUUCGGCCAGGGGGCCAUCCCGGCUUACCAAUCCGAUGCAAACUGCGAAUACCGGAGAAUGUUAUCACGGGAGACACACGGCGGGUGCUAACGUCCGUCGUGAAGAGGGAAACAACCCAGACCGCCAGCUAAGGUCCCAAAGUCAUGGUUAAGUGGGAAACGAUGUGGGAAGGCCCAGACAGCCAGGAUGUUGGCUUAGAAGCAGCCAUCAUUUAAAGAAAGCGUAAUAGCUCACUGGUCGAGUCGGCCUGCGCGGAAGAUGUAACGGGGCUAAACCAUGCACCGAAGCUGCGGCAGCGAACGUAUCACCCAAGACAACUUUACACAGUUGACGACUGACGGAGCGAAGCGACGUCAAAGCGUUUUACAACGUCGAGUUGGCUUAGGGAUACGUUCGUUGGGUAGGGGAGCGUUCUGUAAGCCGUUGAAGGUGGCCUGUGAGGGUUGCUGGAGGUAUCAGAAGUGCGAAUGCUGACAUAAGUAACGAUAAAGCGGGUGAAAAGCCCGCUCGCCGGAAGACCAAGGGUUCCUGUCCAACGUUAAUCGGGGCAGGGUGAGUCGACCCCUAAGGCGAGGCCGAAAGGCGUAGUCGAUGGGAAACGGGUUAAUAUUCCCGUACUUGGUGUUACUGCGAAGGGGGGACGGAGAAGGCUAUGUUGGCCGGGCGACGGUUGUCCCGGUUUAAGCGUGUAGGUGUGUGUUCCAGGUAAAUCCGGUUCACUUUAACACUGAGGCGUGAUGACGAGGCACUACGGUGCUGAAGCAACAAAUGCCCUGCUUCCAGGAAAAGCCUCUAAGCCUCAGGUAACAUCAAAUCGUACCCCAAACCGACACAGGUGGUCAGGUAGAGAAUACCAAGGCGCUUGAGAGAACUCGGGUGAAGGAACUAGGCAAAAUGGUGCCGUAA